CUCGAUACAAGCUCAUAAGGUAGCUUGCAAUGCAACCUACAAGCUCAAUGAGGGAGCUUGCAUCCUGUUUCAAAGAAAUGAAUAGACUGAAAUUUUUCCUCCCUUAUUCAAAUCCAUGCAUAAAUAAGUCUACUAAUUGAACCUUUUUUGGGAAUACAGUAAUUAAGGAAUUACAACUAUUGUUCCUAUAAUUCCUCCAAUCACAAAUCAUGGGAAUAAUUUAUUGCAUAAUUUGUAAAUAAGAUAAUCAUAAAGUAAUUGUUUCUUUCUUAAUUUUGCUUGCAUAUUUGGAUGAGAGGAAGAAAAUUACUUCUUACCCACUCCUGGAAGGUCUCCUGCAACUAAGAUCGGCUGUUGGAUUGCAUUUUACCAAUCUGGAGGUCUCCUGCAAUUUAGGUGGGCGACCAGAUUGUGUUCUAUCCAUCUUGCAGUCGCCCCCUUCAAUCUGGUUGCUCUGUUUGGGGUUUACCCAUCCUUUGGUCGACCAGUCCUCUCUUUUGGCCCAGCCUACUGUUUGUUUCUUUAAAUUAUUUUGCCACAUUAAUUGUAAGGUCUCCCCAAAACUUAUCUAUUGCUCGGCUUGUAUCAGCUUGUCAUAGUGGAACUUAAUUUUUUAGAAAACUCAUUGGUGAAUAAUGAAACGUGAUCUUCCGGAAACAUGCACUGCAAUGAAGUAUGUCUCUUGCGGAAUCAAAGGAUUCACUCCCAGAGAUCACAUAUUGUGCAAGAGUAGUAAACACCAAGUCUUUCGGCAUAAUGCUUUACCCCGAUUAUUUCUUUCUGAUGCAUUCAUAAUUCACAAAAACAUAGUGUCUAAGCACUUUAACCUGAAUUCAUGAAGUCUGCAUUCUUCAUCUUUUGUUAUUUGUACUGCAUUUUUCUAAUGUUUCUUUUGUUAAUGCUUCUUAGUACAGGUAGGCACGUUGAUUUAUGUUGGGGUUGUAAAGGGGAUGAAUCUGGAAUUUUCUUGCACUGAUGGCUGGUUACUUUACAUGCAUUAUUUGUAUUUCAUAUAAAUGUGUUGUUUGUUCUAUUUAACUAUUACAAACCAUUAAUGAGUCUCUACUCUAAAUUUUUUUUUUUGUGAUUUAUAGCCGGUGGGAAGCUGUAGAAUUUGGUGUCCUCAAUGAUGGCUACACGUUUGAAUACUCAACUGGUCUAUCAAGAAUGUGAGGCAUCUGCUUCCAGCUUAACUUUUAAGAGGACAAAACACUGUCGUAGAACGGUUACUAUACAACAAAAUUAUGAGGCUACCAUCAUCUCUCUUUUUGUUGUGGUGACGGACCUCAUUUAUUUUUAGGCUGUUGAGCUCACCUACAUAACUGGUUCUCGAGGCUCUUGGCAAUAAACUCUUCUUUGAGAUAGCAGUUGGCUUAAAUGGCCGCCUUUUGGUGAAUGCCACCUCCUUGUCGACAGUCAUCAUUGUUGCAAACGCACUCAUGAACUCACAGAUUUUGAGUGGGGUGCAGCAGAAAAUUAUGGCAGAUAAACUGCUUCAGAAAAUACAAACAUGAUUAGAGAAUUGCCGACAUUGUAUGGAUCUUCCAUCUUCAUUUCAUGCAGAAGUUCAAAUACACCAAGAUUUAACAGCUACUGGUUCAUUUCUCAUUGUUGUAAAACCGUCUUGUAAGUCAUCAGUUAGAGGGUAUUUUGGAUAAUUCAUUAGGCUUCCCUCCCUUUCCUUCUGGGACAGACAGUGACCAGUUUGUAAUUUUGAGGGUAGAAGUAAAUGAACUGUUGAGGACAAGAAUGCCUUUUCGAAGCUAUAUCUGGCAAAUUUACUUUAGCAACUCUUCAUCAAUGAUACAGGUUAUGAACCAAGAAUUAAAUUGGAGCUGUCCUUAUGCUUCUGGUGGCAGGCAUAUAAACUAAUUAUGAGAAUUAUGCAACAGAAUGUCAUUAAUGCUGGGGAUGGAAUUGUCAUCGAUUCAAGGAAUUUUUACACUGUCUAGACUAGUCGUUAAUUUGUUUUAUUUAAGAACCCUAGCUAAAUAAUGCAAGCGUACAAUUUAUGGGUCCAUUAAUUUUCUGAGCAGAAGGUCAGUGGGUAUGACACUGCUCUGUGGUCUGUAUACAUAUGUGCUUGGUAUAUAUGCAUAAGCAGGCAGCACUUUUGAUCA
Hevea brasiliensis (rubber tree) is the source of this 2120-nucleotide long non-coding RNA. RefSeq lists it as uncharacterized. NCBI's taxonomy places the organism in Eukaryota, Viridiplantae, Streptophyta, Magnoliopsida, Malpighiales, Euphorbiaceae. The record is from RefSeq and is a predicted model, not a curated record. The transcript has 3 exons.